UUAAUUGAAACCAAAAAGAGGUAUUUUAUUGUUAAUAAAAAUAUUGAAUAUUUAAUUCCAAUUAAA
RNAcentral lists this transfer RNA (66 nucleotides) under Bolanusoides shaanxiensis. RNAcentral describes it as "tRNA-Asn". The record is from RNAcentral. Lineage: Eukaryota; Metazoa; Arthropoda; Insecta; Hemiptera; Cicadellidae.